This 85-nucleotide transfer RNA is filed under the name Xanthomonas phage XbC2. RNAcentral describes it as "tRNA-Leu". It matches the Rfam family "tRNA". From Rfam's summary of the family: Transfer RNA (tRNA) molecules are approximately 80 nucleotides in length. Their secondary structure includes four short double-helical elements and three loops (D, anti-codon, and T loops). Further hydrogen bonds mediate the characteristic L-shaped molecular structure. tRNAs have two regions of fundamental functional importance: the anti-codon, which is responsible for specific mRNA codon recognition, and the 3' end, to which the tRNAs corresponding amino acid is attached (by aminoacyl-tRNA synthetases). tRNAs cope with the degeneracy of the genetic code in two manners: having more than one tRNA (with a specific anti-codon) for a particular amino acid; and 'wobble' base-pairing, i.e. permitting non-standard base-pairing at the 3rd anti-codon position. Lineage: Duplodnaviria; Heunggongvirae; Uroviricota; Caudoviricetes. The record is from RNAcentral.
GGGGAUGUGGCGAAAUUGGUAGACGCCUCAGUUUUAGGUACUGAUGCCUUCGGGCGUGUCGGUUCGAGUCCGACCAUCCCCACCA